CACACUUAUUCUUGUGAACCUCUAAGUUUUAGAUGGAAGGUCUUAUUGAAAUCAUUUUUGGGCCAAAUCAUGGAAAGCUUGCUGAUGGUUUUCAAUGCAAAAGUCUCAGCUUAUAGGCAGCCUGUCAUAUAUUCUUACCUGUACCAGGAUGUUUUCAAGUACUAUUUAGUGCUGUCAUUUAUACGUUAGUUCUACACCUUUUUUCCAGCCUAACAGAAUUUGGAUGGUAAAAAUGUCAACUCUUCAGAAGCAGUAUCAUGAUGAGCUUAGAAAAGAACUUCAAUGUACCCAAAUUUCUGCUACUUCAGAUGGGAAUAAGGAGUGUGUUCGUUCACUCAUUGAUAUCAGAGAAGAUUCUCUUCUAGAUUUAAGUUAAAUUUCAAAGGAUGAAGACAACAUGUCCAAGCUUAGGAUGUACCGUAAAAAAGAGAAGCUAAUGAAAGCUAUGGAGUAAUAUGCAGCAAAAGGUGUUCUAAAAUUUUUCUUUGUGAAUAUACAGGUCUCAAGUUUAACCAAUAUACAUUCUUGCUCUCAACUCUAUGAUGGAUACCCCUUUAGAGAAUUCGCCUAUUUUGGAGGUUUUUGUCAAAGGAGAUAACAUUAUUUUCUAGGAUUAUUUGGCAAACAUUCUAUUAAUAUACUUAAAGAUGUUAGCUAUUUUGGUUGAUGAAUUGUGUAAAUAGUAUUGUGACUAUAGUUUUGUAUGUUGUACUUAUUGUGGGAUGUUAAUUCGAAGUAUUGGUAAUACUAUUGAUAAUUUUAUUUAUAUGCA
Long non-coding RNA from Capsicum annuum, 772 nucleotides. RefSeq lists it as uncharacterized. The transcript has 3 exons. The record is from RefSeq and is a predicted model, not a curated record. NCBI's taxonomy places the organism in Eukaryota, Viridiplantae, Streptophyta, Magnoliopsida, Solanales, Solanaceae.